CACCAAUGUGUGUGGUCCUGUCCAUGCCUGAGCAGGCAGCUGUGGCAUGGAGGCAGGGGGAAGGACCAUGACUUCGAACAGGAGAACUUUAUUCCUGCUACCCCAAACAUAACUUUAUCACAACAUUUUAGAAACAUUCUGUUCUAAAAAAUAGAGAACACUAUGGUAGUGAUGGACAAUCUGGAACAGAUAGAGUAUCAGUUCCAAGGAACAAUGGCAAGCAAGAUCUACUGAACAGCAGAAAGCAAACUCCUACACUGAAUACAACUGUUAAUCUGAGGAAGAUUGUUACAAAAUUAUAUUUAGCUGUAUGAUCAAGCUCCAACCAACAUUGCAUCAAGAUGAUGGAAAUCAGAUCUGGAUAACAAAUAAAGCUAAUGGAUACAUUUUAGCUUUAUGUUUAUUAUUAAGAAUAGGCUCUAUGCUUUGCUGUACAUAGUUAAAGUGCU
Mauremys reevesii (Reeves's turtle) is the source of this 449-nucleotide long non-coding RNA. RefSeq lists it as uncharacterized. The transcript has 3 exons. The record is from RefSeq and is a predicted model, not a curated record. NCBI's taxonomy places the organism in Eukaryota, Metazoa, Chordata, Testudines, Geoemydidae.